GAUGAAGAACGCAGCGAAAUGCGAUAAGUAAUGUGAAUUGCAGAAUUCAGUGAAUCAUCGAAUCUUUGAACGCACCUUGCACUCCUUGGUAUUCCGAGGAGUACGCCUGUUCGAGUGUUAUGAAGCUCUCAAAACGCAAUUGGCUUAAAACCUGAUUGUUGUUUUGGAUUUGAACUUUGCCGUGUUAUAACGGCUGGUUUUAAAAGUAUUAGCUGGUACUAGAACGAAUUGGUUCUACUCAACGUGAUAAUUAUCUGAUCGUUGAGGACAUUCCUUUCACGAGGAAUGGCCAUAGUAAAUUCAAUGGACUGCUUCUAAUCUGGCUUUAAUUCUUUAUUGGAUUAACCACUUUUCAAAUCUGACCUCGAAUCAGGUGGGACUACCCGCUGAACUUAAGCAUAUCAUAAGCGGAGGA
This 415-nucleotide unclassified non-coding RNA is filed under the name soil metagenome. Its description in RNAcentral is "partial contains 5.8S ribosomal RNA, internal transcribed spacer 2, and large subunit ribosomal RNA". The stretch from base 1 to 120 matches the Rfam family "5.8S ribosomal RNA", at positions 35 to 154 of the family's 154-position model. The record is from RNAcentral.